This is a non-coding RNA of Oryza brachyantha (malo sina), 134 nucleotides long. Lineage: Eukaryota; Viridiplantae; Streptophyta; Magnoliopsida; Poales; Poaceae. The record is from Rfam.
UGGAGCCGUAUGAAGGGAAACUCCCACGUACAGUUUGUUUUGGGGGGGAAGGAGCCUGAUAGGGUCCCCCCACUGACUUGGCCUGGGCCUAAGUGAAAGUGAAAAAGUGAAGUGGUGGGCCUACCCAUCCCAAC